This 259-nucleotide ribosomal RNA is filed under the name uncultured bacterium. Its description in RNAcentral is "partial 16S ribosomal RNA". It matches the Rfam family "Bacterial small subunit ribosomal RNA", at positions 524 to 776 of the family's 1533-position model. The record is from RNAcentral.
UACGUAGGGGGCUAGCGUUGUCCGGAAUCAUUGGGCGUAAAGGGUGCGUAGGUGGCCUGACAAGUUAUCAGUGGCAAAUCGAGGCUCAACCUCGUGGAAACUGGUAAUACUGUUCGGCUUGAGUACAGGAGAGGUUAACGGAACUCUAUGUGGAGCGGUAAAAUGCACAGAUAUAUGGAAGAACAUCAAUAAAAGGCUGAAGGCAGUUAACUAUUCUGUUACUGACGCUGAGGCACGAAAGCGUGGGGGAGCAAAACGG